AAAUUGAAGAGUUUGAUCAUGGCUCAGAUUGAACGCUGGCGGCAGGCCUAACACAUGCAAGUCGAGCGGUAGCACAGAGAGCUUGCUCUCGGGUGACGAGCGGCGGACGGGUGAGUAAUGUCUGGGAAACUGCCUGAUGGAGGGGGAUAACUACUGGAAACGGUAGCUAAUACCGCAUAAUGUCGCAAGACCAAAGUGGGGGACCUUCGGGCCUCAUGCCAUCAGAUGUGCCCAGAUGGGAUUAGCUAGUAGGUGGGGUAACGGCUCACCUAGGCGACGAUCCCUAGCUGGUCUGAGAGGAUGACCAGCCACACUGGAACUGAGACACGGUCCAGACUCCUACGGGAGGCAGCAGUGGGGAAUAUUGCACAAUGGGCGCAAGCCUGAUGCAGCCAUGCCGCGUGUGUGAAGAAGGCCUUCGGGUUGUAAAGCACUUUCAGCGGGGAGGAAGGCGUUGAGGUUAAUAACCUCAGCGAUUGACGUUACCCGCAGAAGAAGCACCGGCUAACUCCGUGCCAGCAGCCGCGGUAAUACGGAGGGUGCAAGCGUUAAUCGGAAUUACUGGGCGUAAAGCGCACGCAGGCGGUCUGUCAAGUCGGAUGUGAAAUCCCCGGGCUCAACCUGGGAACUGCAUUCGAAACUGGCAGGCUAGAGUCUUGUAGAGGGGGGUAGAAUUCCAGGUGUAGCGGUGAAAUGCGUAGAGAUCUGGAGGAAUACCGGUGGCGAAGGCGGCCCCCUGGACAAAGACUGACGCUCAGGUGCGAAAGCGUGGGGAGCAAACAGGAUUAGAUACCCUGGUAGUCCACGCCGUAAACGAUGUCGAUUUGGAGGUUGUGCCCUUGAGGCGUGGCUUCCGGAGCUAACGCGUUAAAUCGACCGCCUGGGGAGUACGGCCGCAAGGUUAAAACUCAAAUGAAUUGACGGGGGCCCGCACAAGCGGUGGAGCAUGUGGUUUAAUUCGAUGCAACGCGAAGAACCUUACCUGGUCUUGACAUCCACAGAACUUUCCAGAGAUGGAUUGGUGCCUUCGGGAACUGUGAGACAGGUGCUGCAUGGCUGUCGUCAGCUCGUGUUGUGAAAUGUUGGGUUAAGUCCCGCAACGAGCGCAACCCUUAUCCUUUGUUGCCAGCGGUUAGGCCGGGAACUCAAAGGAGACUGCCAGUGAUAAACUGGAGGAAGGUGGGGAUGACGUCAAGUCAUCAUGGCCCUUACGACCAGGGCUACACACGUGCUACAAUGGCAUAUACAAAGAGAAGCGACCUCGCGAGAGCAAGCGGACCUCAUAAAGUAUGUCGUAGUCCGGAUUGGAGUCUGCAACUCGACUCCAUGAAGUCGGAAUCGCUAGUAAUCGUAGAUCAGAAUGCUACGGUGAAUACGUUCCCGGGCCUUGUACACACCGCCCGUCACACCAUGGGAGUGGGUUGCAAAAGAAGUAGGUAGCUUAACCUUCGGGAGGGCGCUUACCACUUUGUGAUUCAUGACUGGGGUGAAGUCGUAACAAGGUAACCGUAGGGGAACCUGCGGUUGGAUCACCUCCUUA
Molecule: ribosomal RNA, 1540 nt
Filed under: Klebsiella pneumoniae
Lineage: Bacteria; Pseudomonadati; Pseudomonadota; Gammaproteobacteria; Enterobacterales; Enterobacteriaceae
Description: bacterial SSU rRNA
Rfam family: Bacterial small subunit ribosomal RNA
Source: RNAcentral